CCUACGUUGAGCAGCAGUGAGGAAUAUUGGUCAAUGGGCGAGAGCCUGAACCAGCCAAGUCGCGUGAAGGAUGACGGCCCUACGGGUUGUAAACUUCUUUUGUCAGGGAGCAAUUGGGUCCACGCGUGGGCUUAGUGAGAGUACCUGAAGAAAAAGCAUCGGCUAACUCCGUGCCAGCAGCCGCGGUAAUACGGAGGAUCCGAGCGUUAUCCGGAUUAAUUGGGUUUAAAGGGAGCGUAGAUGGGUUGUUAAGUCAGUUGUGAAAGUUUGCGGCUCAACCGUAAAAUUGCAAUUGAUACUGGCAGCCUUGAGUACAGUUGAGGUAGGCGGAAUUCGUGGUGUAGCGGUGAAAUGCUUAGAUAUCACGAAGAACUCCGAUUGCGAAGGCAGCCUACUAAACUGCCACUGACAUUGAUGCUCGAAAGUGUGGGUAUCAAACAGGAUUAGAUACCCUUGUAGUC
Molecule: ribosomal RNA, 461 nt
Filed under: uncultured bacterium
Lineage: Bacteria
Description: partial 16S ribosomal RNA
Rfam family: Bacterial small subunit ribosomal RNA
Source: RNAcentral